UUUUUCAAAAAAAUCCAUGCAUGACACACUGCAUCUGGGGACUGAUUUCUGAUAUUAAGACAAGCAUUACAAACACAGAUCAAAAGCAGGAACGAAUAACACGCUAGCAUUUCUGGGAGUGGUCUCCACCGUCUUUGUUACAAACAAGAGAAGGCCUUACAGUUUGAUACGAAGAGUUAAGUCUUCAAUACAAUGAGGGCUAACGAUGACUAGUAGAACAGGUCAAGUUCUAAUUGCUGGGAUCAGGUGUUUCAUUAGGAAAA
RNAcentral lists this long non-coding RNA (263 nucleotides) under Oryza brachyantha (malo sina). RNAcentral describes it as "long non-coding RNA (OBRA_LNC001766)". Lineage: Eukaryota; Viridiplantae; Streptophyta; Magnoliopsida; Poales; Poaceae. The record is from RNAcentral.